This 461-nucleotide ribosomal RNA is filed under the name uncultured bacterium. RNAcentral's name for it is "bacterial SSU rRNA". It matches the Rfam family "Bacterial small subunit ribosomal RNA", at positions 340 to 789 of the family's 1533-position model. The record is from RNAcentral.
UACGGAAGGCAGCAGUGGGGAAUAUUGCACAAUGGGCGAAAGCCUGAUGCAGCUAUGCCGCGUGUAUGAAGAAGGCCUUAGGGUUGUAAAGUACUUUCAGCAGGGAGGAAAGAAAUAAAACUAAUAAUUUUAUUUUGUGACGUUACCUGAAGAAGAAGCACCGGCUAACUCCGUGCCAGCAGCCGCGGUAAUACGGAGGGUGCAAGCGUUAAUCAGAAUUACUGGGCGUAAAGAGCGCGUAGGUGGUUUUUUUAAAGUCAGAUGUGAAAUCCCUAGGCUUAACCUAGGAACUGCAUUUUGAAACUGAAAAACUAGAGUAUCGUAGAGGGAGGUAGAAUUCUAGGUGUAGCGGUGAAAUGCGUAGAUAUCUGGAGGAAUACCUGUGGCGAAAGCGGCCUCCUAAACGAAUACUGACACUGAGGUGCGAAAGCGUGGGGAGCAAACAGGGAUUAGAUACCCGU